Long non-coding RNA from Orcinus orca (killer whale), 5627 nucleotides. RefSeq lists it as uncharacterized. The record is from RefSeq and is a predicted model, not a curated record. NCBI's taxonomy places the organism in Eukaryota, Metazoa, Chordata, Mammalia, Artiodactyla, Delphinidae. The transcript has 3 exons.
GUCAUUACAAAGAACAAGCCUAAGAAAGAAAGGGGCGGGAGGGGGGGCUUCCUCCGAGGGAGCGGGGGCGGAGCGGGGAGAAGCUUCUCAAACUGUCGAAAAGCAGUUAAACCUCCGGCCAACGGUCCCGGCCCAUCCAACUGCUGAGGCCGCCUCGGCCGGUCCGAAAGCCUCGGAUCCGGUUCCUCAGACUCCGGCUCCUCCGACUCUGACUCCGACUCCGACUCCGACACCGACCGACGACGCAGCGCCGCGCCAGCCACGCCGUGCGCCUCCGCCGCCACGGCGAGGAAAAGGAGUCCCACCCCACCCCCACCCGGCCCGUGCUGAGCGCCCGCCCCCGGGCCGGGCGGGGCGGCCCCCGGGGGACGGAGCUCGUCCUCACGGUCCAGCCCAGCCGGCACCCACUGACCACUGACUACGUGCCAGAGCCCCUUCCCUCCCUCGGGAAGUUACAGGUCUGGGGGAAAAGCCGGGCCCACGGGUGUACGCUCCGUCCUGUCCCGCCCCGUGGGAAGCGCCGUGGUGGAAGUGCAAGGACACCUGGUCAGACCCCGAGGGGCGCAGGGUGUCGGGGACGGAGGAGGCUUUUCCAGGUAGAGGGAAGAGCUUGAACGUGACAACAGCCUGUAGGUGAGACAACAGUUAGGAGGAUAAUAAACUAACACUCUGAUCACUUCAUCUCCUAGGCCCUGUGCCACGUGCUUUCAUGAUUAAUCUUUAAUAUACACAGCAACCCUACGAGGCAGGUACUCGUUUCCAUUUUACAAAUAACGACAGAGAGGCAUAGGUUGAUUAAGAAAUUUGCCCAAAUUCCUAGGUUAACAAGUGGUGGAGACUUCACUUAUUGGAAGGUAGGGUGUUGCAGGGAAGUGUGGUCCGCGAGCAAUACACGGCGAAGCUGGAUAUGAGAAGAGCGGGAGCCUUGAAAUAAUCCAGAUGAGGAAUGAUGGGGCCUAAAUUAAGGCAGUGAUGCUAUUCAUUAGGAGGGAGGAAUGCAAAUGGAGGGCAUAAAAGUGACAAAUUGGGGAGGAGCGAUUCAGGGGUAUCGGUACAUGCCUGAGUGGGUGCGGCCACUGGCAUCGCUGGGGAACAAGAAGUCAGUCUGGGGAGGGAGCUCGUGGGUCCACUUCUGGCCAUGUUGAGUCUGAGGUGUCUGGGACAGUUGGAGAUACCCAACAGGCUCAGCGUGUAAAUCAGAAGGGGAGAGAUCAGAAGUGGAGAUAUAAAUCUGGGAGUGAUUAGCCUGAAUGAGAGCCCUUCUUUAUCUGAUGCUUACUGUGUGUAAGACAUCCUUGUAAAUGCCUUGUGUGUAGUGGUAUAUUCGCUCCUUGAAGCUUCACUCCCACCCCGCUUGGGAGGCACUGCUAUUACCCCCAUUUUGCAGAGCAGAUCAUGAAGGCACUUUAAGAGGUAAGAACAAUUUUGACACAUGGUGGGGGGGGGGGUCAGGUAAUGUCCUUCCCCAGAAAAGGGGAGAGAACUCAAAAAGUAGGACUUCAACAUUUAAAAAGAUUUCUUUUAUCCAGAAAGCAGCCAAACCCAUGGAAGGACCGUUUGCCAGGGCCUCCUUCGUAGGUAGGUGUCAACAGAGUUCUAGCCCUGCUUUUAGAUUCACCUGGAGUAAACAAGUGUCAUCCUUGAGGAUUCUUCGACUAAAAGGCCGGCGAGGGGAGAAAGCUCCUCUUCAGUAAACUCUUAAGUAAACCGAAAGGUCCUUGGAGAAGGCAGGCCUUAUUUGUCUAGGGCUUUGGGACCUACCUAAGCCAUGACAAUGGAGACUGAGGCCAAGGGCAGCUGGCAUCCUAGUAGAGAAAAAGUCAUCGGUGUAAGAAGGAUAUGAGAUAGCAAGUUAGAAUCUAGGUGCGGGGGAUAGAGGAGUCGGCUGCAAAAGAUGGUUUUAACUUUGCUGAAUCUUUCAAAUUUUUUCACAGUAAAACGUUGGGGAGAAAAAAUCCUCGUUGUUGCUCUUUGCCUUGGGCGGUCUGUGCUUUAGAGGGUCUCGCUAGACUUGAUUUCCUGUCAUGUGCUCUUUCCUAGGAGCAACGUUAAGACUAUUUUCACACUUAGCAUUGGCAUCCGCCAAGCCAGGCAGGCAUAACUUUGAGGAAAACUCUAGACACGUACGGAUUACGACCGUGAUGCAGGACAGCGAACCCACGGAAAACUCUCCAGUCCCCAGCUGCCCGCGGGCCGCCCCCGCCCCUCCCGGCCUUGCGUCCCCAACUUCCGGUAGCAACCCCAGCCACGGGAUUUCGUGGCUCCAGACGGCGCAGCGGCUGUCGGCUCCCCGCGGACGCGUCGUGACGCUGAGAGAGGGUCGGCCGCCGGGCGGCGAGGGGACCAUAGAGCUGCUCCGGAAAAAGGCGCUGCGCCCGCGGCCGCUCCUCCCGCGGGGAGGCGGAGACGCUCCCGGCCCUUUAUGAUGUGUGUUUACAUGCGCGGAGGGAUCCACCCAGCUGACAGCGGCGCCGCGCCGGUCCUUCUUUUUUUAAAGAGCCCGGCCGCGGGCGCUGAUUGGCCGGCCGGCGUGGGCGCUGAUUGGCCGGACGGCGCGGCGCUUGGGGGCGGGGCACGCGCCUCAUUGUCUGCUCAGCGGCCGCAGGGCUCCCCAGUGGCUGUGCUGCGCUCUCGGUCGGAGGUCCGGGUCUCUGGGCAGCUGGCCGCGAGGCAGGGGCGGGCCGGCGUCGCGGCCGCGUCCGGUGCCGCGGCCGGUGGGUGGCAGUCCCGGCGGCCGGAGCGUAACCGAGCCCUGUCCGGGUGCCACGUGUCCAGGAACCCCUCCUCACCCGGGACGACAUCCCGCCCCGCCGGGCUCCGUCUCCAGCCGCCGCCUGUGUGCGGCCCCGGAGCCUCGCACACGUCCCUGGGGUCUCUAUCCUCCUCCUGCCCGCUCAGCCCCCAGGCCUCCCGAACAGCCUGCCCGACCCCACCCGGCCCGGGCCCCUGGCUCUGCAUCCUGCACCCCGGGCCGGCCGCCCGGUGAUGGGGCGCCCCCGCGUUCCUUCCGGGCGCCGCAGACUCGCAAACUGGGGGGGCGACCUGGUCCCGCGCCCACCUCCGGACUGGGCUCCAGGAGUGGGGAGGCCGGCUCCCCGGCGGCCGCGAAGGGGGCGGCCCGCGCGGCACGUAGCGCACGUGGAGGGCACCUCCCGCCCCGAGGCCGCCGCCGCCUCCGGCUGCUUUCCUGGCGCGCGGGGUGGGCGUGCGUCUGCCCUCCGCGUGGCCCCCGGUCUCUGCGAGCGUCCUUUGCACAGCGCUCAUCCCUCCCCAACGCUGCUGGACCUCCUCUCUCCUCUCCUUUCCUCUAAUUUCACCGACGCACAGGCCUUUCCUUAGCCUCCUCACGAUCCAGCUCGGCCCCUCCCUCUAGUCCACUGUCGUCCUCUCCCACCCCUUUGGGGGCCCGAAUGCUUGGUGUCAGAUGUCCCCUGUGGAGACAGACCCACAGACCUUGAGAUCUCAGGAUGAGCUGCCGCCUUGGUGGUCUCCGUGUUUUGCUUUAUUUUGUGCACUCCCACGGCGUCUCUCUAUUCCUGUUCCUUUAACCAGGCAUUUGUCUUUUUCCACUGCCGUCCCUGCCCUCGUGCCGUACACAGGCAAGGGUCUCCACCGGAUUGUAAACCGCUGCAGGGAGGGAGUCACGGCCUCCAGCCCGGGACCAGACACGUGGUAGGAGCUCCACACGUUUGUUGAAGGGGAAGGGAAAUGGCCUUUAGUGUCUGUGGUUCUGUCUGGCCGAGGAUGGAGUUUUGGACCGGACAAGGAGAAGAAUCUGGUUGCCCAGGGUUGGGCCACUUUGGAGGUUCUGGACUCUGCUGGGAAAAGGUGAGAGGCAGAGAGAAGAACUCAAGUUCCUUGUUCACACUGCAGCCGCCACCGUCACCCCUAAGGAAGGUAUCUGGACUGAGGACCCCUCUCAGCAUGCUCUAGGGCCUUGGAUGGUUGGAAUGUUUGAAAUUCUCUGCAUCCAGGAUGAAAGUCUUGCAACAGGAAUAAAAGGACUUCUACACUAAUUAUAUCUGAACUUCCCAGAGCACUCCCGAAUCCACCGUGCUCGUUUGAAAUCCAGCGUUCAACCAAAUCCUGUCACAUGUCCGGCACAGGGUCUGACACAAAAUCCUAACGCUGAGUCCCUUUCUUCUCUCCGCUGGCAGGAAGGGAUGCUAUCUGCGCACCUAGAGAUACUGUGCGACCAGGAAUAGGACCACACCAGUGGCUGGGGAGUAAUUCAUAGUCUAUGGAACAUACCAACCCCGUGAAGUAGAUGGGUGAUACUGUCGCCAUUUUUCAAAUGGAGAAACUGAGACUCAGAAGAGUUUAUUAGGCAAAAUCACACAGGUAACAACAGAGCUAGGACUGGAAUGGGAACACUGGAGCCUGUGAUCUUCCCUAAACACCAAGCUGAGGAAAGAGAACAUGGAAACCCCACCCCAAAUCUGACCACCAGCUGGCCCUGCAGCUGCCAACAUGUGUCCAUUCUCUCCCCUCUAAGCCACGCUGGUUUCACACUUUCUGGACUGUCAUCUAUAAUACCUUCACUUACAUUCUAACGGAUUCACAAAACAAUACUUGCCCUUACACAGUGACGCACGUGCCGGUUGAGACUCAUGAGGUUGGCUUUGUAACCUGUUAUGGAUUCUGACCCUCAGUUGGAGAAAUGCUGCUUGGAGGUUAGUUUUUCCUGUUGUUUGCUAGCUUUCAAGAAGAUGUAGCUGCAGUAGUUUCUUCACACCCACCUUCAAACCCACCAAAGGUUUGGCCAUUGCUCCUUGCCAUGUCUUCCCUACAUCCUCCAGAACGCUGUCCACAUCACAUACAAGAUCAAUCCCUAUUGCUUAUCUCUUCAGCCUGUUUUGUACUGUUUAUCAUUCACUUGGCUGCAAUCUUCUAUUCAUUUCCCUCCUACCUCUGCCCACAGCCCUUCAACUCAAGGGGUCACUUUGUGCCCCAUCUUUUCAGGUGCCCAGUAUAAGACCAGGACCUAGCAUAGUCUUCAAGUCUCCCAAGACCUGACUUAGAGCAAAGGCCAAAGACUCAAAUGCCUUCAGGGGACAGAAAUAAAUGAGAGAAACCAGCCAGGUGGACUCUGAAGAAGAGAAUGCACGUCCGGCGACCGGGGCCAUCACUGCUCAGGCCAGGGUGGCAGCAAGUUGCAAUUUUCCAGAGAAGCCAGAAGUCUAUUUAUGCAAUCUCUCCUAAUUUUUAGAUGUUCAAUCUUCAAUCAAAUUUCUAAAAAACAGUGUGUGGCCCAACCAGACGUGCUUGUGGUCCGAGUGUGUUCUGCGUGGAGCCACCUCCCUGGAGAGGCUGGUGGGAUGAUGAGUUUGCUGACCUUCCGGGAGAACAAUGGUUACCAAGGGAGCACCAGAGAGAGAUGCUGAGGGCUAGAGGUGAGCUCCUGCCCAUCUCCCCACCUCCCUGCCGGGGCUCGAGUUCAUGCUUCUAGGCUGGAAGGAGAGCUCUACCUUGCAGCAAAGUCUGGAGCCCACACCUGGGACACACCAUGGCAACAGGCACACCCUGAUCUGCGCUGCUGCCGAGGGACCUGCCAGGGCUUGUUUAGUAUUUAUUUUCAUUUUACAUCCACUGUGCUUCAAUUAAAAAAUACCUAUUUUCCCCUCUUC